Molecule: long non-coding RNA, 815 nt
Filed under: Marmota monax (woodchuck)
Lineage: Eukaryota; Metazoa; Chordata; Mammalia; Rodentia; Sciuridae
Source: RNAcentral
GUAACGUGCUUGUUAGGGACACUUUUUAAACACUGAGAUGUAAAAAGAAUAUAUUACACAUCACUUUGAAUUCACUGUGAAGCUGAUAUGCAUAUUUUUAAACAAAAAUGGAGUCAGAGUACUCAAUAGAGCUAGCCUGAAAUAGAAAAUGAAAUUAAGUCAAUGAAAGAAAAUAAUACAGCAAAUUUUGAAGAGUAGCAAUUUCAAGUUAGAAAGCAGCUCCAUCUAGUUUUUUUUUUCAAUUCUGCCACUCUAAAAAUUCAAAGCAUCAUUUUGUAAUUAUGUAGAAUAAUAUCUACCUUCCAAAUUACCUCUGACAUUGUGUUAUCUGCAUAUAGAAAGGUGGUUUUAGUUUAUUUUCUCCUUGUCAUUAUUUGUUUAUUUAUCUGUUUGACUUUAAAAUAUGCAUUUUCUUCUUUGGAAUUGAAUAGGGAACACAAAAUUUUGGCAAACUAUUUUUCAGAAGGAUUCAAUGGCUCUGCCUAAGUAUGUCCUGUCUUGUCUUUCUUAUUUUAAUGUAACCAAUGGAAAAACUGACUUUCGGAUGUGUGACCAUAUGUAAAAGUGCUACAUGUAAGCAUCCUCACAGUCAGGAUGCAGACAAUGCUAUCACCCUGCCCAGAAUCCCUGUCCUACCUCUUAAGAGUGACACUCCUUUCCCCCUCACCCCACUUCCUGCCCCCCAGCUCCUGGCAACACAGCAACUCUUCUUCAGGGAUCUCUCCAUUUUCUCUGGAUGUUACAUAAAUCAUACAGCAUGGAACCUUUGGAGAUUGGCUUCUUUGGCUCCCUGAGACCCAUUCAUGUUGCUGCAU